Molecule: non-coding RNA, 368 nt
Organism: Phasianus colchicus (ring-necked pheasant)
Lineage: Eukaryota; Metazoa; Chordata; Aves; Galliformes; Phasianidae
Source: RefSeq, a predicted model, not a curated record
UUUUCAGAGAUAUGAGUGACUGCUGGAAGACAAAGCUGGUUUCACAACAUCCAGCUUCUGUUUCUCAUUUCACCAAAGGCCUUUAACGUGAUCUUGGAUGGAAUACGACAUUUCAGAUGUCCAAAGAGUUAGCUCUGACAGUCUCUGGAGGAAUUUGAGAAGUGUGAAGGUUGGAAAUGAAUCAGUUAUGCAUCAGCUACAUUUCAUACUCUUGUCCUGAGAGUAAAGCAGUUAUGGGCUGGGCUCCUUGUUCCAGAAUGACAGUGAUGUGUUCCAAAUAUACAGUGGAGACAUCCUGGGAAUGCUUAUGAAGAGCUCAGUGCAAACCUCAUCCCACCACACAUACCCACCGUUGCAAAGGGAAAAGG